ACAUUUGCUUCGUUAAAAAUGUCGUUAAACAAUUCUUAAUUGAAGAUAUCAUUCCUUUCAGUUACAAGCCUACACUCAAUAUUCAAAGUUAAAUGUUCCUUCAUUGAAAAGUUAACGUUAUUUAAAGCACAAAACUGAACUGAAAUCACAGGUGAAAACAUGUUUGGCAAACUAAAGGACUGGGGUUUCAAAUUGUAUCGUAAUGCGCUGAUCGUAUCUAUUUUGGCCAUACCCUAUCUAACAUUCAAGUGCCAAAUAGACAAGCUGUCCACAUUUGAUAUUGGUCUUAUGUACACCAGUGUUGCAAUCGGUAUAAUCAGCUGUGUGGAAUAUGAGAUGCAACGGCAUUAGAGGGAGGGUCAUCUUUGGAGCAGUUGCCGGCCAGAUUGCUGGAGCUGGUGCUGGAGCACGCCAAGCCGAGGAGACAGAGCAGCAAACUGCACACGAUUUUAUAGCACAUUUUGCGCGCUUAACAAUUGGCCACAGCUGCUCGUAUUUGUUGUUGUUGAUAAAUUUGUUGUUUAGUAUUUGAUUGUUGUUGUUGUUGUUUUUUUGUAACAAAUUAUGUAUUAAAAUAUGCAGCUGAGCGGUGAAUGAAGCAUGAA
Long non-coding RNA from Drosophila montana, 605 nucleotides. RefSeq lists it as uncharacterized. The record is from RefSeq and is a predicted model, not a curated record. NCBI's taxonomy places the organism in Eukaryota, Metazoa, Arthropoda, Insecta, Diptera, Drosophilidae. The transcript has 2 exons.